Long non-coding RNA from Peromyscus californicus insignis, 760 nucleotides. RefSeq lists it as uncharacterized. Lineage: Eukaryota; Metazoa; Chordata; Mammalia; Rodentia; Cricetidae. The record is from RefSeq and is a predicted model, not a curated record. The transcript has 2 exons.
GAAGGGAAAAGAGAGUCGUGCUUAUACCCUAUGUUUCAUUUAAUCCAAAGUAACCAAGAAUAAACAAAACAGAACAUAUGACUUCCAAAAUAGAGAGAGAGGAGUAUUAGAGAAGUAAUGUUGACAACCCACCAGCUACCUUUAAGAUCAAGAGAGCAAUUACAUAGCACAAGGAAGACUCCUACUGUGACUGAGAAGACCACAAUUCUGUGCAGCUCUUUACAAAGCACAUGGAAGCAGUACACAGAACCUCAGGAUCCUGCACAAGACCUUAGAAACAACGGAAAGAAGCCACUCUGCUCUGCUCUGCUCCCCACAAAAGCAAACUGGGCCGGACAGCAAGUAGGGUGUGUUUGCAUCAGCUCUGCUCUGGCCAUCUCAUAAGCCGAGUUUCCCAGAAGAAGCCCAGCCGCAAGGAAGACAAGGGAAUGUUGUUUCACAGAUGGCUCCAUUGCAGCCACUCUUAAAGUGACAGAGGGAUGUGUAGUCACAACUGAUGAAAGCCAUCAGAGGAAGCAGAGGACAGGCAAGACUGGGAGACACGUGAGAUCAGUCAGGACACAAUGACACCCGCCACCUGUUGCAGUAGCAGUCAUCUGUCCACUGAACUGAUGACAUCGGCAGUCACUUGUUGAAAAUGAAUGCAACGACGGACCGUCUCCUGCAGACCCUGGCUGCUUCAUUUCACCUGGCAUUGAUCCAGUUUUAGGACCAUGUUCUACAGAUAAUUUAGUCCUAAAUAAAAAUACUCUUAACAGUA